Molecule: non-coding RNA, 1342 nt
Organism: Microcebus murinus (gray mouse lemur)
Lineage: Eukaryota; Metazoa; Chordata; Mammalia; Primates; Cheirogaleidae
Source: RefSeq, a predicted model, not a curated record
CCUGGCUUCUCUGCUCGAGCUGCCCUCCCUCCUCUCUCUCGAUCUUAAAAUGUUGAAAAUUGCUUAACGUGUUUCUAAGAAGCAGACAACACAGUUUACAGUUCUCCUCCUGCCCCUUGCCAUAUGCGGGUCUACUGAUGUGGGUGAUACGGUGCAUGGUCAAGCUCCGGUGCUGGACUUCGGAGGAAAGAAGUAUCUUUGCAUUGGGGAAGUUUCCAUCAGAAGAUCCCUUUCAAGCCCGGUCGAGACUUCAGUCAUCCCUGUGUCGCUCGGAGCUCGAUCACAGCUCAGCGCGCUGGUUGGAGUACAUGCACGUUUUAGGUUAUCGCUUCAAAGAGAGAAAUGUAACGUGACCACAAGGGGGCAGCAAAACACACCAGAUUCCCUUCGGUUGUGUCUCCACGGGUAAGAGGAAGGCAACGAAAGAACGAAUUGAGGUACCUGGCAUUUGAGCCGUCCUCCAAACGCUGGCGUUUCUAGCACAAAUCACAGUGAGACGGCAGGGAAGGGAGGAGGAUGCUAUAACUUCCUAGGAUAAAAGAGAAAGUUGAAGUUCAAAAAGGCUGAUCAUGUGGCUAAUAUAAAUAAAAUGGAAGAGCUAGUAUUUGAACCCAUGGCUUUGUGACUUCAAGCCCAUGUACUUUGAACUACACUUGUGCAGUGCGGGGAACAUCGCAGAGGCAAAUGGGGUCUGAUCAAGAUCCCUCCUGGUGGACAUUCCACGGCUGGGACUACCUGAUGGCACUCGGCCACCACGACAUCAGUUUCACAAGGGCCAGACUUGCACUCUGAAGAGUGCUGUCUGUGUACUCCAAAGAAAGCUCUACGAUGUUUCUUUGGGUGUUACUUACCUGCAAAUGAAACAGCACAUUAUGCUUGGUUGGAACCAGAGCAGCCAGCAGAUGUUUUCAAUUCUGGGCCCUUUGUUUGCUGUGGCAGAUGCACCUUUGCUGAGCCUGGCUGUGGAGUGAGCAGCCCUUGCUGGGCUCGUCAGCCUUAACACUGCUUGCAGACUCUUUGAAACAGAAAUGGGAUAUGUAAGAGCAACCUUACAUAUGGGAUUAAGGAAAGAAUCCUGUUAAAGAUGACUGACGCUAAUGAAAGGAAUUGGAGGUAUCCUGAAGAAUUUUAAGAUAAGUUAUAAUCGUGUGUGUGUGUGUGUGUGUGUGUGUGUGUGUGUGUGUCUAUAUUUAGGUCUUUCUAUGUGUCUAUCUACAGGGGGUCCUUGGGUUAUAGAUGAGAUAUGUUCCUGAGAAUGCCUUUAUUUCGGAUUUUUAUGUAACUUGGAUCCCCAAUGAAUGGGAUAUGUACAGUAAAAUAAUAAUAACAAUAACAAUACUAU